Molecule: ribosomal RNA, 402 nt
Filed under: uncultured Paracoccaceae bacterium
Lineage: Bacteria; Pseudomonadati; Pseudomonadota; Alphaproteobacteria; Rhodobacterales; Paracoccaceae
Description: bacterial SSU rRNA
Rfam family: Bacterial small subunit ribosomal RNA
Source: RNAcentral
UGGGGAAUCUUAGACAAUGGGGGAAACCCUGAUCUAGCCAUGCCGCGUGAGCGAUGAAGGCCUUAGGGUUGUAAAGCUCUUUCAGUGGGGAAGAUAAUGACGGUACCCACAGAAGAAGCCCCGGCUAACUCCGUGCCAGCAGCCGCGGUAAUACGGAGGGGGCUAGCGUUAUUCGGAAUUACUGGGCGUAAAGCGCACGUAGGCGGAUUGGAAAGUUGGAGGUGAAAUCCCAGGGCUCAACCUUGGAACUGCCUUCAAAACUCCCAGUCUGGAGUUCGAGAGAGGUAAGUGGAAUUCCGAGUGUAGAGGUGAAAUUCGUAGAUAUUCGGAGGAACACCAGUGGCGAAGGCGGCUUACUGGCUCGAUACUGACGCUGAGGUGCGAAAGCGUGGGGAGCAAACA